Homo sapiens (human) is the source of this 3689-nucleotide long non-coding RNA. RefSeq lists it as uncharacterized. NCBI's taxonomy places the organism in Eukaryota, Metazoa, Chordata, Mammalia, Primates, Hominidae. The record is from RefSeq and is a predicted model, not a curated record. The transcript has 2 exons.
ACAUGGACACACGAAAGUACCGAGAAGGCACGCAGCUGAAGAUCUGGUAGGGGAUGCAUGCGGCACCAGCAUGGUCGUGGCACCCGAGUGGGAAGUGCAACAAACGCCAACAUCUUGUUACUUUUAACGCCUAACUUCCUGCAGCGCUGGAGCAGCCAGCGGCCGCCGGGAAGCCGAGCUCGGCUGCAGCCCUGCGUCGCCGCGCCACGACCCGACCAUCCUCUGAGACGCCCGGGACGGGAGCGCCCACCCCCAACCAGGCGCGGACAGACCUCCCGAGCGCAGCCCGGCGGGAACCCGUCAGCGCGGGAACCGGCCUCGAACUCCAGGCGUGGACAGCCGCGAGAAACUGACCUACGCGGUCACCCGGGCUCCCAGAGCUCCCGAGGCGGUGGCCACGACCCCAGGCUUCCCGUCCGCCCGCCCCACGUCGAGGAAGUGGUCGUCACCAACUCUGGCUGGCACUCCCCGAGGACGCUCGAGCCCGCGUAACGUCUGUCUCCGGGACCCGGCGCCGGGACCACGGCGGAGCGCGAGGUGGCGCCGCCCCUCCCCGCAGCCCGCCCCUGGAACGCGCAUCCUCCUGGCGAGCUGGCAUCCCUCCCGACACGUGACCGCAGCGGGGACACGCCCGUUCCCCGCCCACUCCCCGCCCCUGCCUGGCCUGCCCACGCCCCCGGCCCGCUCCUGUCCCGCCUGGGCCACCGGCGCUGGUUCCAGGUUUUGCCAGCUACUAGGGACGCGUAAAGCCUUCGCGCUCCUCCCACCACACCCCGAGGGAAGAAGUGGCAGGCCUUACCCGGAGACUACAAGGAACCGCCCGUGUGAGCCAGUGGAAGACUCGCGUCCCCAGGCAAAAUAUAAGUCCUGGGUUAAUAGUCUGAAGUCUGUCAUUAAGCAAUAGGUUAUCCAGCUGCCCAGAUUUUUUUCUUUUUUGCUUUGGCUGCAACUCGACCCGUGGGAACUUAAUUGGCAAUGUAAAUUAGACAAUUUACAAAAAAACACCUCCUUUUACUUUCACCUGUGAAAGGAAGCGCUUAAAAUGCCAUACAGGUGUAACCAUUAUAGAAUAGAUAUGCGUGAGACAAGGAUUUACAAAAUUUCCUCACCUCCUCUCCUCCAGAUUCCAUGCACAAGGCGUCUAGCUAGAGGAGUUAGCAAAUAGUCUAUAACGUGAAGGUUCAAACUCUAGUAUAAUUCCACCGUUUUUGUUUUUUUCUUUUUUUGAGGCAAGGUCUCACUCUGUCUCCCAAGCUGGAGUGUAGUGGCGCGAUCUCGGCUCACUGCAGCAUCGUCUUCUGGGUUCAAGCGAUCCUCCGGCCUCAGCUGGACUACAGGCGGGUAAUCAAGGGACUGGGACUACAGGCGCGCCCUGCCGCGCCCGGACAAGUUUUGUAUUUUUAGUAGAGACAGACUCUCCCUAUGUUGCCCAGGCUGGUCUCCAACUCCUGGGCCUCCCAAAGUGUUGGGAUUACAGGCGUGAGUCACCCCUGCAGGCCACAGCUUUGCUUUUUAAAAGCAUUUCUGCAUAACUAAAAAGACAGGAAAUUACGAGCAUACGAAAACUGAUUUCUGCUUUCCUGAAUUUUCUAAAUGUAUUUAAUGAACAUGUUCUUUUGCAAUGAAAAAGUAAUAAAUAGGUAUCAUUUUUAAAAGGACUGUAGUUUUUCCAUCAAGUCUAGAAGCAUGUAUUGAGAACCUAUAAUAGGCCCUUUUGGUCAUUGUGAUAUGUGUGAAACAGCAUAUGGCAGAUCUUUUGAAAUGAUGUUUUUGGAUACCACAAGCAAUCCUGCUGGUGUAUCUCAGGCUGGCAUCAUCUUUUAUUAACAAAGCAGGCACUUUACUAGCACAAUACUUCAACUGCAAAAUGUGUGGUAACUAAAGCAGCUGUAUUUGUCUGGAAAAGAAGAAACCUCAGGGCUUACUAUCUAAGGAUAUUGAACCAUCUUUUUUUUUUUUUUUGAGAUGGAGUUUUACUCUUGUGCAGUGGUGCAAUCUCAGCUCACUGCAACCUCUGCCUCCGAGGUUCAAGCGAUUCUCCUGCCUCAGCCUCCUAAGUAGCUGGGACUAUAGGUAUGACACACAGAUGUCUAAGCAACUGCCUUCCAGCAGUGAUUGAUUUUGCUGGUUCCCCACACAAAAAGUUUGGAAGAGACCCUUAUGUCUUCUGUAGAGUUUCUUGGUUGUAAGCAGCAAGCACUGGUGCUGGCUAACUUAAGCAAAUAAAGAAUAUAUCACUCAGACAUCAAAGAAACAGCUGGAAAUCUGGCUUGGCAAAGGCCGGAUUAGGGCACUCCUGGGGAUGUGGGUAGUAGGAAUAGUCUAUAGUUUUUCCUCAGUGCCAACACUGGGAAAGAAUAUGUUCCAAUUAUUUUCAUUUUCCUAUCCUUUUGUCUUUCUUCAGAAGAAGCAAAGUUGAGAGAUAGUCUUUCAUAGCUUUUCCCAUAAGGUAUGUUCUCCUUGGGCAACAUUUUCAACUCAACCUUUAGCCCUUAGCUUGCUUUUUCUUUUUUUUUUUCUUUAUUUUUUUUAUUUUUGAGACGAGGGUCUUGCUCUGUCACCCAGGCUAGAGUACAGUGGCAUGAUCAUGGCUCACUGCAGCCUCAACCUCUCAGGCUCAAGCAGUUCUCCCACCUCAGCCUCCCAAGUAGCUGGGACUACUGGCGCGAGCCACCAUGCCCAGCUAACUUUUGUUUAUUUUUUAUAGAGACAGGGUCACACUAUGUUGCCCAGGGUGGUCUCAAACUCUGGUUUGAGCAAUCUGCCCACCUUGGCCUCCCAAAGUGCUGGGAUUACAGGCAUGAACCACCUCACCUGGCCUUUCUUUAUUCAUCAUGAAUAUACCCUGCUUAGCCUGGUCAACAUGGAGAAACUCUGUCUCUACAAAACAAAAAUUAGCCAGGCAUGGUGGUGUGGCCUGUAGUCCCAGCUACUGAGGAGGCUGAGGUGGGAGGAUCACUUGAACCUGGCAGGUGGAGGCUGCAGUGAACUGAGAUCACAUCACUGCACUUCAGCCUGGGAGACAGAGACCCUGCCUCAAAAAACAAACAAACAAACAAACAAAAAAGAAUAUAUUCCGCUUUUCUAUCCCUAAUUGUCUGCUCAAGCAGUGUGCCUGACAGUCACAUGACCCCUUCUAGGAAGCCUUGGAAAGUCUGCCCUGCCUAUUGCCCCUUUUUGAGGACUUCAUUAUGCAACCUACAAUUCUUGGCUCAGCUGAAGGAGCAAGAGCAGGGCCUCCUAAAUGGCACCUUUCUAUUAGGCUUACCAAAGGCCUGGUAUAUGUGCUUUGCCCAACAGGAAAUCUCUAUACUGAGUAGCAUUGAACCAUCUAGAUUUCUCUCUUGGGUAGGUUUAACCGUGACGCAUGCAAAGGACAGUCCUUAGUCAAGGUAGAUGCAGAAAGGCUCACAGAGGGAAGUGAGAGCAGAGAGUAAGCAGAAGCCAUGGGACAGCCUAAAGGAGAAUACAGAAAAGAUGACCAGGAGCGGCAGAAGCAAGAGCAGAGAGAGAAUGAUUGAGACCCCAGAGUGCGGAAACACUAGGGUAGGGAGCAAAGGAUGGCGCCCCCUGCUGAGAGGUCCAGAAUGGUGGGCUGCAGUUAAAUCUUCAACAACCUUCUGCAGCAGCGUGAUGUCUCUGCUUUUAUGUCUCUGUAUUGUUGCAAUAAAUUCUUACUCUUUAUCUGA